This 407-nucleotide ribosomal RNA is filed under the name uncultured bacterium. Its description in RNAcentral is "partial 16S ribosomal RNA". It matches the Rfam family "Bacterial small subunit ribosomal RNA", at positions 28 to 526 of the family's 1533-position model. The record is from RNAcentral.
GACGAACGCUGGCGGCGUGCCUAAUACAUGCAAGUAGGACGCAGGUGCGGACGGGUGAGGAACGCGUAGGGAACUGCCUAUUAGAGGGGGAUAACUAUUGGAAACGAUUGCUAAUACCGCAUACUAGUUGAUGGACCUUCGUUGUAUUAGCUAGUAGGUAGGGUAAUGGCCUACCUAGGCGACGAUACAUAGCCGACCUGAGAGGGGGAUCGGCCACACUGGGACUGAGACACGGCCCAGACUCCUACGGGAGGCAGCAGUAGGGAAUCUUCGGCAAUGGGGGGAACCCUGACCGAGCAACGCCGCGUGAGUGAAGAAGGUUUUCGGAUCGUAAAGCUCUGUUGUUAAGGAAGCGGUACUUAACCAGAAAGGGACGGCUAACUACGUGCCAGCAGCCGCGGUAAUAC